RNAcentral lists this unclassified non-coding RNA (1403 nucleotides) under Hevea brasiliensis (rubber tree). Lineage: Eukaryota; Viridiplantae; Streptophyta; Magnoliopsida; Malpighiales; Euphorbiaceae. The record is from RNAcentral.
UCACAAUCACAAUCCAAGAAAAACACCAAUCAAUCGUCAAGAACAAAGGCAAAUGGGGGGCAUCACUCUAGGCAACCCACAAGCAGUGUCUCAAUCUCACUAUCACACCCAUAAGAUCUUCUUGUUCUCGAACUACAUUCUACUGGGUGCAGCCUCCAGUUGCAUAUUUUUGACCCUUUCGCUUCGCUUGGUGCCUUCAAUAUGUGGGUUUUUUUCUCAUUCUGCUCCACAUUUUUACCAUUGUUGGUGCAGUUUCAGGUUGUGCUGCAGCGUCAUCAGGGACUAAUAGGUGGUACGCUGCACACAUGGUGGCCACAGUGCUGACAGCAAUAUUUCAAGGUUCAGUAUCGGUGUUGAUCUUUACUAGAACAGGGGAUUUCCUUUGGCAAUUGAAGUCAUAUGUAAGGGAAGAAGAUGGUGAGGUGAUACUGAAGCUAGCCGGUGGGUUGUGUGUGUUAAUUUUCUGCUUGGAGUGGGUGGUGCUUACUCUUGCAUUCUUCUUGAAGUACUAUGCCUAUGUGGAGGGUGAUGUUAGUGGUGGCAAUACUGAUAUGAAGAGAAGUGCUAAGGUGCAGCAAGAGGAGGACUUGAAGGAUUGGCCGUGGCCUUUCCAAGUCUAAAUUUAUAAUUUAUAUGGCUCGGGAAUUAAUAAAUAUGGAGAGUAUGGUAUUUGUUGUGGUGCUGCUGCCACAUGAUAUAUAUAUAUUUUUUUAUAUAUUUCUGUUCAUUCUAUCAUUUGUUUAUUUUUUUGGCCUCUAUUGGUUUUUAUGUAUGAAUGAGAAUAUUGUGCAAAAAAAAGCUAUUUUAUUGAAAGUCUCUUCCUUUCUUUCAAUUUCAAGCCACCAUGAUCCUGCGUUCAGGCUAUAAAAAGAAAUACAUUUUGCUUGUUUUGGACAGUUCAACUCAAUUGGAAAAGAAAACAAGUGGGAAACCCAAAGUUUGUUGUCAUAAUUCCAAAACCACUCCAAAAUCGGAAAUUUGAGUUGGGGAAAGGUCAAGAGCUUUUCAAAAGUACACAGCUCCAUUUCAAGCUGAUCAUUGUUGGAUUGAGCAAAUACUUAACAGUAUCAUUUUUAUCAAAAUGGACCUAAAAUUUCUCCACCAUAAAAGGGGAAAUCAAUAAUUGGAGAGGAAGCACUCCUGACCCAACCAGAAUCAGAUACUGAAUUGAAUUUGUAGAGAAGGCUUGCACCACCAGUCUCAUCUCGAACUCAAUCAAUGGUGUUAAGGUUGGAGGCGCUUCUUCAGUGAUCGCAUCCAAUUAAGCAGCACAACCCUUAAUUCCUUGAAGAAAAUCUUGCGGCUGCCAAUAUUUCUCAACAGGUUUUAGGUGACUUAAUAGGAUUCUUUUUUCAUUUUAUUUACUUCCACUAAAGUGGACUUGUACCCAAAUAGAUUUCAAC